Molecule: ribosomal RNA, 353 nt
Filed under: uncultured bacterium
Lineage: Bacteria
Description: partial 16S ribosomal RNA
Rfam family: Bacterial small subunit ribosomal RNA
Source: RNAcentral
CCUACGGGUGGCAGCAGUAGGGAAUAUUGCUCAAUGGGGGAAACCCUGACGCAGCAACGCCGCGUGAAGGAUGAAGUUUUUCGGUUUGUAAACUCCUUUUGUUGGAGAAGAUAAUGACGGUAUCUAACGAAUAAGCACCGGCUAACUCCGUGCCAGCAGCCGCGGUAAUACGGAGGGUGCAAGCGUUACUCGGAAUCACUGGGCGUAAAGGGCGCGUAGGCGGGAUAGCAAGUCAGAUGUGAAAUCCUAUGGCUUAACCAUAGAACUGCAUUGGAAACUGUGAUUCUAGAGUAUGGGAGAGGUAGGGGGAAUUCUUGGUGUAGGGGUAAAAUGCGUAGAGAUCAAGAGGAAUA